RNAcentral lists this ribosomal RNA (279 nucleotides) under uncultured bacterium. Its description in RNAcentral is "partial 16S ribosomal RNA". It matches the Rfam family "Bacterial small subunit ribosomal RNA", at positions 506 to 784 of the family's 1533-position model. The record is from RNAcentral.
UGCCAGCCGCCGCGGUAAUACGAAUGGAGCGAGCGUUGUUCGGAAUCACUGGGCGUAAAGCGUAUGUAGGCGGACUUGAAAGUCAGAAGUGAAAUCCCGAGGCUUAACCUCGGAAUUGCUUUUGAAACUCCAAGUCUCGAGUCCCGGAGGGGUUGACGGAAUUCCGAGUGUAGAGGUGAAAUUCGCAGAUAUUCGGAGGAACACCAGUGGCGUAGGCGGUCAACUGGACGGGAACUGACGCUGAGAUACGAAAGCGUGGGGAGCAAACAGGAUUAGAUA